CUAGGGAUCAGGGCACAGGUUGGUUCUUUGUACUCAGACAUCCUGUAAUUGGAGGGGGAGGAUUUUUAAUUGAAGUAUAGUUGACUUACAAUGUAGUGUUAGGUUCAAGUAUAUAGCAAUGUGAUUUACUUUUUUUUUUUUUUUUUCAGGUCCUUUUCCCUUAUAGGUUAUUAAAAAAAUACUGAGUAGAGUUCCCUGUGUUAUACAGUAGGUCUUUGUUGUUUCUCUGUUUUUUGUAUAGUAGUGUAUAUAUUUUAGUCCCAAACUCCUAAUUUUUCCCUCCCCCCCCAUCCAAAUUCUAAAUGCUGGAAUGCUUCAGGACCUGGUUCUAGCCCUUCUUCUCUAUCUCAUUCUCUCCUAAGGUGAUCUCACCUAAUACCAUUUAGAUAUCACAGCUUCCACAUUUAUGUGUUUUAGAUAUCACAAUUUCCACAUUUAUACCUACUAGCCAAGACCUCUCUCCUAACAUAGAUGUGACAUAUUUGCAAAUAGAGAUAUAUGCACACAUAUGCAAAUAGAGAUCCGUCACCCACAGUGGAUGUAUCUUAGUCAUCUCAAAGUUAAAUCUUUAUCGGUUUCAACUUAGUCCUUUAUCCAUUAUCCCUGUGGUAGAAAUGCUUAUGGGCCUCCCGGAGAUGUCCACAUACUAAUUCCUGGAACCUUAGUAUAUGUUGCCUUACGUGGAAAAAGGAACUCUGCAGAUAUAAUUAAGAUGAAGGACUCAGAGCUGGGAAGAUUAUCUUGGAUUACCUGGGUGGACCCUGUUAAUUACAAGGGUCCUUAAAAGCAGAAGAACGAAGUAGAAGAGAGGAGAGGUGCCAGUGGAAAAGAAAAGUAGAGAUAUGGCAGCGUGAUGAGCCCAGUGGGCCCAAGCUAAUCUGAAAAAGCAGAGAAACUUUCCCAGCUGUGGACUGAUCGAGAUGGGAUGUUGGAAGAAAGCUCAGAGAGACAAAAGAAAUGUGAUGAGAGGAGGCAAGAAAGAUGGAUCAUCUUUCAAAACUGGGAAUGGCAAGGAAACAGAUUUUCCCCUUAACCCUCCAAAAAGGGACACAGUACCGCCAACACUUGGAUUUCAACCCAUUGAGACUCAUUUUGGGCUUCGGACCUAAAAAACUAUAAGACAGUAAACUUGUGUUGUUUUAAGAUGGCAAGAUUGUUGUAGGGGCAAGGCAGUUAAUACAACCACCUCUCUAGAAGUAGCACCACAACUGCCCAGUUGCCCUAGGUAAACCUUGCAUGUCAUUCCUGAUACUUCCCUGUCAUCUAGCUUCUGCCCGCCUAAUCUAGGAACAGGUUCUGACAAUUUUACUUCCAAAACAGAUCUUGCAUCUGUCUGUUUCUCUCCAUCUUCUCUGUCAGCACCAUAGUCCAGGCCAGCAUCAUCCUGUGUCUGGACUAUGACAGCACCUUGCUCAGUGGUCUCUUUGUUUCUGCACCGACCCCUUUCUAAUCCAUGCUUCAUUUAUUGGUGACAAUGGUCUUUUGAUAAAUGCGCAUCAUUUCUCUGCUUAAGCUUUUCAACAUCUUCCCAUUACAAUUAGAGUAAACUUCCCAAGUUUCUGAGCAUGGCCUCCAAGGUCCUUCAUGACUUGGCUCCUGCCCACCUCUCUGAUUUCCCUUUGUACGUUUAGGCUAACUCACUUUGGUUACCCCAUCAGCGUCAUUUCUGUUCCUGUAACAUAACAAACUCAUGCCUUGGUACCUGUUAUUCUCUCUUCCCGUGAGUUUUCUCCCUUGUAUAUGGCUUCUUGUUUUUCAUGUCUGACCUCAAACACCGUCUCCCUGGAAAGGUCUUCAUUAAUGCUCCAGCCAACACACCCCACGCCACUGACAUAGGCACUCUCUGUCAGAUAACCCUGUUUGUAAUUAUUGAGUUUGUUUGCCUUAUUUUCUUUGUCUCCCCAGCUAGAAUGCAAGCUCCAGAAUGCUUGCCUGACUGAUUCAACGUCCCCAGACCCUACCACAUUGCCCCAUACAUAAUUGGUGGUGAAUUAAUACUCCUCAGAGUCAGGACUGAGGGAAUGAGUUCAGUGAGGAAAAAUGCAAUCAGAGGUUUGUGUGGUUUUUUUUCCCAUUGAGGUGAAAUACACAAAACCUAAAAUUAACAAUUUUAAAGUCCAUAACUCAGUGGCAUUUAGUACAUCCAGAAUGUUCUUCAACCAUCAUCUCUUAACGAGUUCUAAAAUAUUUUCAUCCCUUCGAAAUAAAACCCCUUUUCCACUCAAAAGUAACAUCCUAUUCUUUCCAUCCCUCAACUCCUUACAGUCCCCAGUUGGUUUUCUGUGUCUAUUCUGAAUAUUUCAGAUAAAUGGAGUCAUGCAUUUUGACUUUCACAUCUGGCUUCUUCCACUUCACAUGUUCUCAAGGUUUGAUACAUUGUAACAUGUAUCAGUAUUCUGAUCUUUAUUAUAGCUGAGUAAUAUUCCUGUGUGUGUGUGUGUGUCCCCAGUCUUCUGUUAAUGGAUAUUUGGGUUGUUUCCACUCGGGGGCGGUUGUGAAUAGUGCUGCUAUGAACAUUUGUGCACAUUUGUUUUUAAUAGGUCACAAAUUCCAUUUUGGAACUUGGAAUGUAGGCAGUGAUUUCUAGGGCAAGAGCCUCAUUCAUUUCUUGCCUGUUUCUGAUGUUCUCCAUAUUUCUCACACAGUCAGUGAGAGUAGCUUAAUGAUCAUAUUUGCUUAAUUAUCAUAGAAUUCUUAAUCAAGUUGUUUAUUCUAUAUAGAUUAAUACAGCAGCUUCCAAAUAUAAUAGGGCUGGAGACAGAACCGGGGGUAGGCGGAAAGAGAUUAGGGAGAAUAGUGCUAGGUGUAGUUAAAAUUAUGACUUUUUCAAACAUGCACAUUACAAGAAAAUUUACUCAUCCAGUGAUAAACUUUAUGUUUCCCUCAGAAAUGUUAGUAGCUACCAAUGCUUUCUGAAUUAGGUACUCGGAACCCUAAGUUGUAUGUUCCAUGCCAUCUCCAAUGUUAAAAAGUUUUAAUCCGCAAUUAGAUAUAUAUUAAGCCAUUAAAAUAUAAUUGUAUUUUAAUGAUUUGAAUCUAUGAAUAUAUGUAAAUUAGUGAUGGCUUAUUAAACAUUACAGUUUUGGGUUAUUGUACAAAAAAGAUCUGUACAUAUAAAAUGUUAGAGGGGAAAAAAAGCCUUUUGUGUAUUUUAUUACAUCAUCCUUCAGCAAGGAUGACCAAAAUGAAAAUGCUCAUGCAAUUCAUAAUGUUAAAAAAGAAAUAUCAUCAUUCUUAUGAAUAGAAACUAUUUCCAUGAAUGCCAAGUACACACAGUUGUUUGGGUCUGAACGUGUUAUCUUGAUCCCUGGCACUCUAUUUUGUGCUUGGAAGCCUCUACUCAAUUCAAAACAUAAAUUUGGAAAAGGCAUGCUCUCUGGAACCUUCUGAGAGCCUGUAGUUAUGGUGGUGACUUAAAUAUUAUUUCCAUAGCUACGCUGGCUUCUAGCCACAGCUGAAGUGCAUAUCAACAAGCUUGGUGUGAAAAUGGGCAGGGAGAGGAAAAAAAGAGGAGACAGAGGACACUAAUUUUCCUUCUUCGGAGGAGGAGGUAUAAUGUCUUUAUAAAGUAAUAAUUAAAAGAAAAACAAUUACUGGAGCCUUAUCUGGACCAUGCAGCUGUACUUCCUCCUUUUGCAUUAGCAGUGUUUCUAAGGUUAUGACAAACCAUGAAAAUUGCAUCUUUAGAGGAGUUUUAUUCCUUUUCCUAUGAUUUGAUUGAAACAGACAGCUACAUUUUGUGUAUAUAUAAUUAGGCAGUAAAAUAGGCUUUGAAGGCAGGUUUCCAUUUAGUAUGUGAGUCACACGCACAACAGCCUUUCAUUCACCAGCCAAGGACUGAUCUUUUUAAUGCUUCAACCCGCUCAACAUGUUUUCUGAAUGCUACAUCUUGCACUGGUGGGGGCCGGGUGGGCGGGAGGGAGGGGGAAAAAAAAAAUCAGCUUUUCGCCCAUAUUUCUUUCUUUUUUUUUCAUCUUCUUUCCAAAGGGAAAACAAUCUGAAAAGCCAAUCUAGGAAGUCUUUGGCGAUUUAACCUCACGACAAACUGAUUUUUAUCGUCC
This 4061-nucleotide long non-coding RNA is filed under the name Sus scrofa (pig). RNAcentral's name for it is "lncRNA (ENSSSCG00015045482.1)". The record is from RNAcentral. Lineage: Eukaryota; Metazoa; Chordata; Mammalia; Artiodactyla; Suidae.